AUUGAACGCUGGCGGCAGGCUUAACACAUGCAAGUCGAACGAGUGGCGGACGGGUGAGUAAUGCUUGGGACUCUAGCUUAUGGUGGGGGAUAACUACGGGAACCUGUAGCUAAUACCGCGUACCAUAGGAUGAGCCCAAGGGGGCUUAGGUAGUUGGUGAGGAAAAGGCUCACAAAGCCGACGAUCUCUAGCUGGUCUGAGAGGAUGACCAGCAACCCGGGGACUGAGAAACGGCCCAGACUCCUACGGGAGGCGGGAGGGGGGAAGAUUGCGCAAUGGGGGCAACCUGACGCAGCCAGGCCGCGUGAAUGAAGAAGGCCGUCGGGUUGGAAGUUCUUUCGGUAGCUAGGCGUUAACUACAGAAGAAGCACCGGCUAACUCCGUGCCAGCCGCCGCGGUAAUUC
RNAcentral lists this ribosomal RNA (404 nucleotides) under uncultured bacterium. RNAcentral's name for it is "partial 16S ribosomal RNA". It matches the Rfam family "Bacterial small subunit ribosomal RNA", at positions 29 to 526 of the family's 1533-position model. The record is from RNAcentral.